AAUUCAGAAUUCACUUUCCCGCUCACCCAAAUCUUCUCCUUCAGCCACGAUCCGCUCUCCUAUAUGGAGCUCACCAAAUUUGUUAACCCUAAAUUCAGAAUUUUGUAUUCACGGCAUAAAAUACAAACCUCAACAACACCAAAUUGAGUUCACCCUUUCCAAAAUCGACUCGCUUUUCAUGUUAAACGGUGAUGGCCUCAUCUUUCUUACAUUCUUCAAGGGGUGAUGGGUAUGUAUGUUGAACCGACCAUAGGGAAAUCUUCGAUAAGAAAUUCACCGGUCUUCGAGUUAUAUGGUUUAUUAGGUUAUCAUCAAGAUCCACCACAUGUGAAUGCCGCCGCAGAGACGGUUGAAGGCAAGAAUUGAUUGUCCGUCACCUAAAUCUAUCGCUCCUCCGUCGCAGCCGUCUCCUCCACCGCCUUUCGUCGUACAGCCACCAGAUCUGAGGCUAGGUUUUCAAGGGAGUGAGGAAAAUCCUGAACCAGAGAUUCAGAAGCAGACUGGAUUCGUUACGCGAUCGAGUUUCUGGCAAGGUCCGGUAUCAGGUGGAAGAACGGAGGCCAAAAUCGGGCGGUGGAUAUGAGGUGAUGAAUCGGCCUAGAUCUAGUGGUUCAAAUUGUCCGUUUUCGAGUGGAUGAUUAGGUUUAAUUCGAUGGAGUCAAAAGAGGAAGCACAUAGUGAUGAUGGAUCUUACGAGUUGGUGAAAGAAGAUCCAAACAUGAUACGAAGAAAGACACCGUGUCAUCAUCAAUAAGGUGGUGCCAUGAUAUUGGUCGUGAGCAUGCUGCAAAUAAUCCUCGACUAAGUAAAAACCGUUUUCCAGGUCAUGAUGAGAUUGGGCAAAACAACGUUACUCUUGUUAUACGCGAUAAAACAAGAGUGAAAAUGAUGGAAGUGAGUAGGAAAUCCGGGCAUGCUACACAAGCAAAUGGUGAAGGAUAGUUAGUGUUCACUCACGUAGUUUAAUGGAGUAUUGUAUUUCUCUUAGUGUAUUUUUUUUUUUGUUUUUUGAAAUAUUGCAUGAGAUAUUGGUUUGUUAGUAUCAACAUUUAUGAAAUCUAUUGUUAAUUUUUAAA
This is a long non-coding RNA of Helianthus annuus (common sunflower), 1076 nucleotides long. RefSeq lists it as uncharacterized. The record is from RefSeq and is a predicted model, not a curated record. NCBI's taxonomy places the organism in Eukaryota, Viridiplantae, Streptophyta, Magnoliopsida, Asterales, Asteraceae. The transcript has 6 exons.